Molecule: transfer RNA, 72 nt
Filed under: Bos taurus (domestic cattle)
Lineage: Eukaryota; Metazoa; Chordata; Mammalia; Artiodactyla; Bovidae
Also listed under: 5 other names
Rfam family: tRNA
About the family: Transfer RNA (tRNA) molecules are approximately 80 nucleotides in length. Their secondary structure includes four short double-helical elements and three loops (D, anti-codon, and T loops).
Source: Rfam by way of RNAcentral
UCCCUGGCAGUCCAGUGUUUAGGACUUGGCGCUUUCACUGCCGCGGCCCAGGUUCAAUCCCUGGUCAGGGAA